GUCCACGCCCUAAACGAUGAUAACUCGCUGUUGGCGAUAAACUGUCAGCGGCUAAGCGAAAGCAUUAAGUUAUCCACCUGGGAAGUACGACCGCAAGGUUGAAACUCAAAGGAAUUGACGGGGGCCCCGCACAAGCGGAGGAGCAUGUGGUUUAAUUCGAUGAUACGCGAGGAACCUUACCUGGGCUUGAAAGUUAGCGACCGACCUUGAAAGGGGUCUUCCCGAAAGGGCGCGAAACUGGUGCUGCAUGGCUGUCGU
This 258-nucleotide ribosomal RNA is filed under the name uncultured bacterium. Its description in RNAcentral is "partial 16S ribosomal RNA". It matches the Rfam family "Bacterial small subunit ribosomal RNA", at positions 793 to 1055 of the family's 1533-position model. The record is from RNAcentral.